GGCAACCCUGACGGAGCAACGCCGCGUGCGGGAGGACGGCCUGUGGGUUGUAAACCGCUUUUCUCAGGGAAGAAGCUCUGACGGUACCUGAGGAAUCAGCAUCGGCUAACUCCGUGCCAGCAGCCGCGGUAAUACGGAGGAUGCCAGCGUUAUCCGGAAUUAUUGGGCGUAAAGCGUCCGCAGGUGGCGAUUCAAGUCUGCUGUCAAAGCACGGGGCUUAACUCCGUUAAGGCAGUGGAAACUGAAUGGCUAGAGUGCCGUAGGGGUAGAGGGAAUUCCCGGUGUAGCGGUGAAAUGCGUAGAGAUUGGGAAGAACACCGGUGGCGAAAGCGCUCUACUGGACCACACCUGACACUCAGAGGACGAAAGCUAGGGGAGCG
RNAcentral lists this ribosomal RNA (380 nucleotides) under uncultured cyanobacterium. Its description in RNAcentral is "bacterial SSU rRNA". It matches the Rfam family "Bacterial small subunit ribosomal RNA", at positions 376 to 770 of the family's 1533-position model. The record is from RNAcentral. Lineage: Bacteria; Bacillati; Cyanobacteriota.